AUACGUAGGGAGCGAGCGUUGUCCGGAAUUACUGGGUGUAAAGAGAGCGUAGGCGGGAGUGCAAGUCAGAUGUGAAAUACAUGGGCUUACCCUAUGGGCUGCUUUUGAAACUGCAUUUCUUGAGUGAAGUAGAGGUAAGCGGCAUUCCUGGUGUAGCGGUGAAAUGCGUAGAUAUCAGGAGGAACACCGGUGGCGAAGGCGGCUUACUGGGCUUUUACUGACGCUGAGGCUCGAAAGCGUGGGGAGCAAACAGGAUUAGAUACCCUGGUAGUCCACGCUGUAAACGGUGACUACUAGGUGUGGGGGGACUGACCCCUUCCGUGCCGCAGUUAACACAAUAAGUAAUCCACCUGGGGAGUACGGCCGCAAGGUUGAAACUCAAAUGAAUUGACGGGG
This 396-nucleotide ribosomal RNA is filed under the name uncultured bacterium. Its description in RNAcentral is "partial 16S ribosomal RNA". It matches the Rfam family "Bacterial small subunit ribosomal RNA", at positions 523 to 918 of the family's 1533-position model. The record is from RNAcentral.